Non-coding RNA from Bos taurus (domestic cattle), 73 nucleotides. The record is from Rfam. NCBI's taxonomy places the organism in Eukaryota, Metazoa, Chordata, Mammalia, Artiodactyla, Bovidae.
UCCCUGGUGGUCCAGUGGCUAAGACUCUGCAUUCCCAACGCAGGGAGCCUGGGUUCAAUCCCUGGUCCGGGAA